Molecule: small RNA, 28 nt
Filed under: Bombyx mori (domestic silkworm)
Lineage: Eukaryota; Metazoa; Arthropoda; Insecta; Lepidoptera; Bombycidae
Description: ovarian small RNA-23783
Source: RNAcentral
UAUCUGCACAAUUUGAAAAUAAAGCCUA